AUUGAACGCUGGCGGCAUGCCUUACACAUGCAAGUCGAACGGUAACAGGUCUUCGGAUGCUGACGAGUGGCGAACGGGUGAGUAAUACAUCGGAACGUGCCCGAUCGUGGGGGAUAACGAAGCGAAAGCUUUGCUAAUACCGCAUACGAUCUACGGGUGAAAGCAGGGGACCUUCGGGCCUUGCGCGAUUGAAUGAGCCGAUGUCGGAUUAGCUAGCUGGCGGGGUAAAGGCCCACAAAGGCGACGAUCCGUAGCUGGUCUGAGAGGAUGAUCAGCCACACUGGAACUGAGACACGGUCCAGACUCCUACGGGAGGCAGCAGUGGGGAAUAUUGGACAAUGGGCGCAAGCCUGAUCCAGCCAUACCGCGUGCAGGAUGAAGGCCUUCGGGUUGUAAACUGCUUUUGUACGGAACGAAAAGCCCCGGGUUAAUACCCUGGGGUCAUGACGGUACCGUAAGAAUAAGCACCGGCUAACUACGUGCCAGCCGCCGCCGUAA
RNAcentral lists this ribosomal RNA (498 nucleotides) under uncultured bacterium. RNAcentral describes it as "partial 16S ribosomal RNA". It matches the Rfam family "Bacterial small subunit ribosomal RNA", at positions 30 to 523 of the family's 1533-position model. The record is from RNAcentral.